ACUUUAUAGGGUGUCUCAAAAGUUUUGGUCCCUGAAGAAGUUCGCAAGAGUUCUUCUCAGGUAUUGAAACUUUUCGGACACUCGUAUAACCG
Molecule: non-coding RNA, 92 nt
Organism: Saccoglossus kowalevskii
Lineage: Eukaryota; Metazoa; Hemichordata; Enteropneusta; Harrimaniidae
Source: RefSeq, marked provisional